AAUCUUCGGCAAUGGGGGCAACCCUGACCGAGCGACGCCGCGUGGUGGAUGAAGGCCUUCGGGUUGUAAACACCUGUUGGGGGGGAACAAUUUUGAGUGAACCCCUGAGGAAGCACGGGCUAAGUUCGUGCCAGCAGCCGCGGUAAGACGAACCGUGCAAACGUUACUCGGAAUCACUGGGCUUAAAGCGUACGUAGGCGGCGUCAUUAGUCAGAGGUGAAAUCCCAUCGGCUCAACCGUGGAAUUGCCUCUGAUACUAUGAUGCUUGAGGGGGAACGGGGCAUUCGGAACUUCCGGUGGAGCGGUGAAAUGUGUUGAUAUCGGAAGGAACGCCGGUGGCGAAAGCGGAAUGCUGGGUCUCUUCUGACGCUGAGGUACGAAAGCUAGGGUAGCGAACGGG
Molecule: ribosomal RNA, 400 nt
Filed under: uncultured bacterium
Lineage: Bacteria
Description: partial 16S ribosomal RNA
Rfam family: Bacterial small subunit ribosomal RNA
Source: RNAcentral